UGACGGAGUCUCCCGUGCCUACAGUGAC
This 28-nucleotide small RNA is filed under the name Bombyx mori (domestic silkworm). RNAcentral's name for it is "ovarian small RNA-31760". Lineage: Eukaryota; Metazoa; Arthropoda; Insecta; Lepidoptera; Bombycidae. The record is from RNAcentral.